Long non-coding RNA from Biomphalaria glabrata, 2366 nucleotides. RefSeq lists it as uncharacterized. The record is from RefSeq and is a predicted model, not a curated record. NCBI's taxonomy places the organism in Eukaryota, Metazoa, Mollusca, Gastropoda, Planorbidae. The transcript has 3 exons.
GAUUUGCAGACAUGCCUACAGUCCCGCAUUAUGCGGAACCGUCCCGCAAAAGCAUCAAAAAAGCUCACAUGUUCCGCCGUUCCGCAUUCACGAUUUUUUGUUCCGCCAAGUCUGAAUUCCGACACAAAAAAAAAAAAAAAAAAAUCGCAGAUUUUUCAUUAUUUAUUAAUAAUGCGAAAUUAAAAUACUGAAUGCAAAAUAAAAUAUAUAUAGGUCUGUGUUUAUUGUUUACAUUUCAUCUUCUCCCGGACCCGGUGUGUCCUAAAUUUACGAAGAUAAGGUUGAGCUAGAUCUAGACAUAGAUCUAGUACUCUAGGUAGGUCUAGAUACUAGAUCUAGAUUCUAGAUCUAUUCUUAGAAUCUAGUAAGUGCUAAUUAUGCUAAUAAGCCAAAUGUUUCAUUCAAAUCCCUUUCUUUUCCCGACAAUGGCUAUACUACUAAGUACUUAGAACACUUAGUCUACUUACUAGUACUUACAGUACUUACUACUAGUCUAGACUAGAUCUAGACUCUAGACUACUCUAUCUCUAGACUAUUGGCAAUGGGUUGGUAGACAUAGUCACGUGAUUUGGGCACGGCAGACAUAUUGGUGGUAAAAAUCUGGUUUCUAUGCACAAUCAACAAACGCUUUCCCUUUUAGGCACUUACUGUGACUUACCAUGGAUGAGUCGAACAAAGAAAGAUAUAGUAAGAAAAUUUCAGAAAUAAAUAAUAUUAAUCCUUACACUUUAAAAGCAAGCCUGUGUAAUAAAGAAAACGAUUUGCUGCCCUCCUUGUGUUAUCCACUUUAUCCAGAUCUCUUCACUUAUUAUCUUGUAACGUCUUGUUCUACCUGACUACUGGACUGACUGAAAGUGCUUUGGCUUACACAAUCACAAAGGAUGAAUUCAAGGCUUACAAGACUUAAGCAGCCUACAACCAGUUCCUAGAUGGCUGGGUUCAAGAUGUUAUGGCUUAUAAACCACACAAGUACCCAAAUACUGUUGUACUAGAAAAGGUUCUUCACUCUCAGCGGUUAGCAGAAAAGGUAUUGCAGCCCUGGAUAGUAAUAAGUCAAGAUGGUAUUAUUCUAUCAGCCCAAUGUUCUUGUAUAGCUGGACUUGGCGAGUCUGCACUCAUGUGGCAGCCACUUUAUUUAUGCUGGAAGCCAACACCAGAGUAAAAGAGAGUAAUAAAGACAGUUACAGGCGUGUCAUCUUACUGGACGAAUCCAUCAAAGCUUAAAAAACUUUUGUCAACUAAGGUUUCUCAGAUUGAUUUCACCUCAUCAAAAACAAAAAAAAAAGUUAAAUUUGAUUCUCUUGUGGACAACAUCGCUUCUAAAAAUAUAAAUUCAAAGGCUAUUAAAUCCAGAGAAACUAUAAAGCUUAGUAUACAUUCUUUUAAUUCAUUUAUUGAAAGUAAUGAGAUAACACCUUGAGGUGUUAUUCCAAUCAGAUAUUUUACUGUGUUGUUGAAAGAAUAAGUUUGUGCCUGUGCUUUAAUGCUGAUAGGUCUCUCAAUGAAAAUUUUAAAACAGGCAUUUAUUACUUGGAUGUCAAACUUAUUUUACUGUCACUUUCCUGCCAUAAGUAUAAAUAAAUUCUUUGGGCAUUGUCUUUCCGAGACUCUCCUUAUUGGGCCAGAAAAUCAAAUCGAACAUGUUGACAUACAUAAGAUAUAAAACGUUUAUGAAGAUCUUAGAGGCAGUUGUGGGAUGAAUUUUAAACAUAUCAGCUAAUACAUAGGCAGGUUUACCUAGAAUAUUUGUAAUAAAGUGUGUUAAAAAAAUAAUUUGUGUACAUUCAUAAUUAAGGUAGUUAAAUUAAAUUAUAUAUAUGUGUAAAUGUGAGACAGUGCCUGUAUUAUAUCCAAGCUAUCCAAUGAGAAAUAUUUAUAUAAUUUAAUAUAUAGAUAUAUUUAUUCAAAUCAUAUAAUGCAUUCAUUUAUUUGUGGAAAUAAAAGAAAUGAAUUUAAAUAUUGUUUGUUUAUUAAUUAUUAUUAUCUUAAAUAUUAUCAUAAGGUCUUUCAGGUUAACUUGUUUAUUCAAAUAAAUCAUUUUAUUUCUAGAUCAAAAUCCUGUUCUAUGUAACUGUUUGCAUGACAAUGGAUGUCAAGAACUAGAUCUAUUAAAAAAAAAAAAAAUUAUGAUAUAUAAAGUAUCUCAGUUAUUUAUUUAUUCAAAUCAAGAUGUUUGCCUGGUCAUGCAUUUGGCGCGAUAGACUUACCAAUGGUUCCGGGUUCAAACCCUACCCAUUCCCAUCCCCUGUUGUCCUGCGGGAGGUUUGGAGUAGGAAGAAACUUCCAAAAUGUAAAACAUUUUACAAUACAAUUUAGUGGAUUUAAUUAUAUCUAGAUAAUAGUAGAUAGAACUAUAUUAACUAGAU